UACGUAGGGGGCAAGCGUUGUCCGGAAUUAUUGGGCGUAAAGAGCUCGUAGGCGGUUCGUCGCGUCGGCUGUGAAAUCCCGAGGCUCAACCUCGGGUCUGCAGUCGAUACGGGCGGACUGGAGUUCGGCAGGGGAGACUGGAAUUCCUGGUGUAGCGGUGAAAUGCGCAGAUAUCAGGAGGAACACCGGUGGCGAAGGCGGGUCUCUGGGCCGAUACUGACGCUGAGGAGCGAAAGCGUGGGGAGCGAACAGG
This 253-nucleotide ribosomal RNA is filed under the name uncultured bacterium. Its description in RNAcentral is "partial 16S ribosomal RNA". It matches the Rfam family "Bacterial small subunit ribosomal RNA", at positions 524 to 776 of the family's 1533-position model. The record is from RNAcentral.